This 2253-nucleotide long non-coding RNA is filed under the name Homo sapiens (human). Its description in RNAcentral is "HSALNT0191376". Lineage: Eukaryota; Metazoa; Chordata; Mammalia; Primates; Hominidae. The record is from RNAcentral.
UUAAAAUCCCACAGCAUGUUCUCAGUCUAAUCUCCUUUUAUCUCCGCAACCCGAUUUCAGCAAUUGUGUUUAUCACUUAAAUGCCUCCUCUUGUUCAUAACUUUGAUGAUUCUCACAUGGGCUAUAGACUGCUGUUUACUCUAAUUGUAUUCUUAUUAACAUUCCCAUUUUAAAUGACUAAAAAUAAGACUUUGACCUUCCAAAGUGAAUGACUGCUUACUGCCCUUCCUUGGGGAGAAAUUAACUUUGGAAAUAUCUGCAAAGUAUGUACAUGGUUAUAUGUCCAUUCAUUUUCCUUCUUAUUUGCUUCUUUAAGGUGGAGUCUCCUAUUUAUUUUCUGGAAGAGACGUGGGGACAAAGGAUCACUGGGCCCCAAAGAAAAUGUGAGAAGAUCAUAUUGACAAACUGAAAACGUUUCUGAAGAUAAGAAACAGGUGUAAGAGAGCUGCUCAAGUGACUGACAGACCUGCAGUAGGAAGUAGAACUGCCUUGCCCUCUGAAGCUUGAAGCAGAGGUACCUGGCCAAACCCAGAUCAGCCAAAUUUAAAUCAACCUCAGACACGACAUUAUAUGUAAAACAAAUAUAAGAAGACUCUGAAAGUUGGAGAAAAGACGUUAGACCAUCUGGAGACCUUGGGAUCUGAGGAACAACAUAGCAUGUCAGUGAAGACCACAUGGGGACAUGGAAGCAGUGACAAGACCCCUCUACCCUCUCUCAGCAGUAAGAGGAGCCCCUCCCCAUCCCAGGUGUCAACAGAGGCUGAGUGGGAACCUGGACUUCUACCCCCACCUGGUAGUAACAAGACAGGCUCCACCCCUUUCUUUGCCAGAGUGGUGUUGGAAGAAGCCAAUAAAAACAAAAGGUGUAAAUGAGACUGAGCGUCUCAUAACGUGAUAUCCAAAAUGUCUAGCUUUCCAUCGAAGAUCAUAUCAAGAGCCAGGAAAAUCUCAACUUGAAUGGAAAAAGACAAUCAAUAGAUCCCAACAUCAAAAUGACAGAGAUGGCAGAAUUAUCUGACAAAUAUUUUAAAGACAGCCAUUAUAUAAAUGUUUGAAAUAAACUAUUACAAACAUACUUGAAACAAACAAAAAAUAGAAAGUCUCAGCAGAAGUAUAGAAGAUAUAAAGAAGAACCAGAUAAAAAUUUUAGAACCGAAAAAUACAAAAGCCGAAACAAAAGACAACAGCAGAAUAAACGAGACAGGAAGAAAAUCAAUGAACUUGAAGAUAGAGCAGCAGAAAUUAAGCAAUAUGAAUAACAGAGAGAAAAUAGACUAAAAAAAUGAAAAGAACCUCAGGGACUUAGGAAACUAUAACAAAAGAUCUAACAUUCCUGUCACUGGAGUCUUGCAAGGAGAGAAGAAAAAGGGCGGGGCUAAGAAAAGGACACAAAGAAAUCAUAGCUAAAAGCUUCCAAAAAAAGUGAUGUAAUCUUAUUGGCAAUUAAGAAUUCAAAUUGAAUAAUAAAAUGACAUUUUUAUCCUUUGCUUCUCUAAUUGGCAAAAAAUAUUUAUGAUUGAUGACAUUGCAUAUUAGUAGGUAUAUGAGAAAUGAGGAUUCUUACAGUUAGUGACAGUUUAAAUUGAUGAUAUGUUUUUCAUUAAGUUUUUCUGAAUUGUCUAUUGCUAUCAAAAUUGUAAAUGUGCACAUUCCCUGAUGCUGAAAUUACACUUCCAGAAAUAAAUCUAUCCCAUGAAAUAGCCACAUAUGUUCAGAAAUCAUAUAAACUAUAUAAAGAAUAUUUAUUGCAAUAUCAUGUGUAAUCAUGGAAAAUUACAAAUAAAAACAUCCAUUAAAACAGAAAUAGUUAAUGAAUUGUGACUUAUUUGUACUAUAGAUGUGACAGAGUUGUUUAAUAAAUGUAUGAGAUUGACUUACACAAUUUGAUAUGGAAAUAACUCUAAGUUUUAAAAUGCUAGUAAAGGAACACUAUGUAUAAUAUGGUCCCAAACACAAGUACACCAAGAAAGGUGUAUGUUUGUGAAUACAAUGCAUAGAAAGUGGACAUAGAGAUAAGACAUUUUAAGAGUAUCCCCAGCUCCAAGCUGUGUUUGCUUGAGCCUUUGAAUAAACUGAAAAAAACAGAAAAUGUCACUGUUAAAGAAUGGUGUGGAAGGACUGAUAGAGAUUAUGAGGUGAUCAAAAUCUCCCUAAAGCAAAGGUUGACAGUUAAUUGAGUUUGACAGAGGUGGGUGACAAAGGGAAAUGUUCACACUUCGUUCUCCACUCUUUUAUGUCUUUGGCUCAUGUCCA